UUUUGACUUGAAGGAUGAGAGAUCCAAAUUGUCCUGCAACACAUAUCAGCAGAAUUCGGUAGAGAGUGGCACACAGUGAUGAAUUCCUCACUGCAGGUCUCACUGCAGUCCUGGACAGAGGGCUACCAAAGGGACCGAAAACAGGACAAAAGCAACAGAGACCCCCAUUCCUUGGAGUAUCUCAUUCCUUUGAGAGUUUUCAGCUGAGGAAUUUUCUCAAUGAAGGGGGAAGGAAAAUGAGAGACACAGCAAGACUGCAAAUUUUCAGCAUCUUGUGGAAUGCAGAGUGCCAAGUCUGAGAGAUCAUGUAAGGAAAGCUUCUUUCUUAGGAGCAAGGACAGGACUGCAU
RNAcentral lists this long non-coding RNA (349 nucleotides) under Zonotrichia albicollis (white-throated sparrow). RNAcentral's name for it is "lncRNA (ENSZALG00000008445.1)". The record is from RNAcentral. Lineage: Eukaryota; Metazoa; Chordata; Aves; Passeriformes; Passerellidae.